Molecule: ribosomal RNA, 565 nt
Filed under: uncultured bacterium
Lineage: Bacteria
Description: partial 16S ribosomal RNA
Rfam family: Bacterial small subunit ribosomal RNA
Source: RNAcentral
UGGGGAAUAUUGGACAAUGGGCGCAAGCCUGAUCCAGCAAUGCCGCGUGUGUGAAGAAGGCCUUCGGGUUGUAAAGCACUUUUAUCAGGAGCGAAACGCUGUCGGCUAAUACCCGGCGGAACUGACGGUACCUGAGGAAUAAGCACCGGCUAACUUCGUGCCAGCAGCCGCGGUAAUACGAAGGGUGCAAGCGUUAAUCGGAAUUACUGGGCGUAAAGCGUGCGUAGGCGGUUUCUUAAGUCUGCUGUGAAAUCCCCGGGCUCAACCUGGGAAUGGCAGUGGAUACUGGGAGGCUAGAGUGUGUCAGAGGGUGGUGGAAUUCCCGGUGUAGCGGUGAAAUGCGUAGAGAUCGGGAGGAACAUCAGUGGCGAAGGCGGCCACCUGGGACAACACUGACGCUGAGGCACGAAAGCGUGGGGAGCAAACAGGAUUAGAUACCCUGGUAGUCCACGCCCUAAAGCGAUGCGAACUGGAUGUUGUCUCAACUCGGAGAUCAGUGUCGAAGCUAACGCGUUAAGUUCGCCGCCUGGGGAGUACGGUCGCAAGACUGAAACUCAAAUGAAUU